This 20-nucleotide microRNA is filed under the name Acyrthosiphon pisum (pea aphid). RNAcentral's name for it is "api-miR-929". Its record names the gene api-miR-929. The record is from miRBase by way of RNAcentral. Lineage: Eukaryota; Metazoa; Arthropoda; Insecta; Hemiptera; Aphididae.
AAAUUGACUCUAGUAGGGAG